This 478-nucleotide ribosomal RNA is filed under the name uncultured bacterium. RNAcentral describes it as "bacterial SSU rRNA". It matches the Rfam family "Bacterial small subunit ribosomal RNA", at positions 328 to 802 of the family's 1533-position model. The record is from RNAcentral.
AUGAAACACUCCUACGGGAGGCAGCAGUGGGGAAUAUUGGUCAAUGGGCGGAAGCCUGAACCAGCCGAGUAGCGUGCAGGAUGACGGCCCUAUGGGUUGUAAACUGCUUUUAUGCGGGGAUAAAGGGGCUCACGUGUGGGCUUUUGCAGGUACCGCAUGAAUAAGGACCGGCUAAUUCCGUGCCAGCAGCCGCGGUAAUACGGAAGGUCCGGGCGUUAUCCGGAUUUAUUGGGUUUAAAGGGAGCGUAGGCCGCCCCUUAAGCGUGUUGUGAAAUGCGGGUGCUCAACAUCCGACUUGCAGCGCGAACUGGGGGGCUUGAGUGCGCCGAAAGUAGGCGGAAUUCGUGGUGUAGCGGUGAAAUGCUUAGAUAUCACGAAGAACUCCGAUUGCGAAGGCAGCUUACUGUAGCGCAACUGACGCUGAUGCUCGAAAGCGUGGGUAUCGAACAGGAUUAGAUACCCUUGUAGUCCGAAGUUC